This 1078-nucleotide small RNA is filed under the name Pan troglodytes (chimpanzee). RNAcentral describes it as "retained intron". The record is from RNAcentral. Lineage: Eukaryota; Metazoa; Chordata; Mammalia; Primates; Hominidae.
UCUUCACCGACGGGGACGACCCUGAGCUCGAGCUCCAGGGCGGCGGCCGUGUCAUCAACACCAACUGCUCCGCGGUGCGCACCCGUCAGGCCCUCUGCUGCAAGAUGUCCGUGGAGUAUGACAAGUUCAUUGAGUCUGGGCGCAAGUGGUUUUGCCACGUGGAUGAUGACAAUUAUGUGAACGCCAGGAGCCUCCUGCACCUGCUCUCCAGCUUCUCACCCAGCCAGGACGUCUACCUGGGGCGGCCCAGCCUGGACCACCCCAUCGAGGCCACCGAGAGGGUCCAGGGUGGCAGAACUGUGACCACGGUCAAGUUCUGGUUUGCUACUGGUGGGGCCGGGUUCUGCCUCAGCAGAGGCCUUGCCCUCAAGAUGAGCCCAUGGGCCAGGUGAGUGGGGGUCCGGCUGCCCGGGCUGGGAGGCGGAGGCUGAGACCUGAAAGGUGCUGACCGGCCUCCCCCCAGCCUGGGCAGCUUCAUGAGCACAGCUGAGCAGGUGCGGCUGCCGGAUGACUGCACAGUGGGCUACAUCGUGGAGGGGCUCCUGGGCGCCCGCCUGCUGCACAGCACCCUCUUCCACUCUCACCUGGAGAACCUGCAGAGGCUGCCGCCCGACACCCUGCUCCAGCAGGUUACCUUGAGCUAUGGGGGUCCUGAGAACCCACAUAACGUGGUGAACGUGGCUGGAGGCUUCAGCCUGCAUCAGGACCCCACACGGUUUAAGUCUAUCCACUGCCUUCUCUACCCAGACACGGACUGGUGUCCCAGGCAGAAACAGGGUGCCCCAACGUCUCGGUGACACCAACCACCCCUGACCCAGGGCUGCCUGGCUCUGUCCCAGGUGCGGGGAACCAGAGCCCCCUGUGGGUUCAGUGGGCUCCCUCAGGUGCCACGGCCACACCAGUGAGAUGCAGGCACCUGGCAGACCCUCUGGCUAGCCUGCAGCCCCCCUCUCCCAGCCCCUGGUGGGCUGCGGUGAUGGGUGUUUUGGGAGAACGAAGACAGCCAGGCUGAUGGCCAGGGCCAUGGUGCCCCUCCCCCCGACCCAGCCGCAAGGUUGAUCCCACGGGAACAGGCUUC